AAAGAAAAUGCAUCAUGGCUCCUGGUGAGUUUACUGUGCAUCAGUCCAAAUCACAGGCUACUUUGAGUCUUUGUUUAACCCACAAAUGUACUUAUAUUUGUCUAUUGUGUGAGUGUGACAAAAAACAAAACAAGCUAAGCCUGAAGGAGCUACUCUCAAUUAAUUUGAGAUAAUGUGAUGAUGUGAUAAAUGCUAACCUGGGAAAAUCCUUUAAUCACACUGCUUAGGUAUUUAUUUAUGACUCUGCAGUCUGUUUAACACAAUGCUGUUCCUUAACAGGCCAACCGGUGGCAGCCAAGGACCUGAAAUUCAACCACAGGGAAGUGUAGUGCAGAGAGCUUGUCCAGCAUCUCACGAUCCACAGCCAGGAUGCGCUGCUCGAGGAUGCUGGUGUACGAGAGAGAGCUCUCUCUCUUCUCUCUCUCAAAGGCCUGCAGCUGCUGCUUCAGGGACUCUGGCAGGAACCUCUGGGGGACAGGGGUGAUGGUGUGACAGAUGGCGUCCAUGGACACGUGGUCUGAAGGCAACCAUGAGAAACCACUGACCCUUGACAAAACAGGGAGUGGAGGAGAGAUAGACAAAACCCACACUAACCCUAGUGUGUGCACACACACACACACACAAAAGCUCUUUGUGGUGAAUCCCAAGUCAAACUCCCUGACUGGCAGAGGGUUGGAGGAGGUUUUCACACAAUAGAACACAAUGCUGGAGUGGGGAGGGGAACUGCUGUAUUUAAACAUGGGGGGAGUGUGAAGUAACACAUGUUAUGUAUGCCUGUGCCUCAAUUCAAAUAAUUGUGUUCCUAUAGAAACCUGCAUCUCUAUGGAAAGAGAAAGAGAUGAUAUUGUCUUAUCACACUAAUUAAUGUUCCUAGAAUAUUUUUUAUAAUGUUAUGUAGUGUAUAAUUUAGUCAUGUUGAAAGGGGGCUCUUAUCCCACAUGAGUAACAGGAAUGCUCAUAUAAUCUCUCCACUAAACUACCUGUCUGUCUGUCUGUCUGUCUGUCUCUACCUGUGAUGCUGGAAGUGAUGCUGAGAACUCGUGCAGCAGCAGGUCUCUGGGUCUGACGAGUC
Toxotes jaculatrix (banded archerfish) is the source of this 1072-nucleotide long non-coding RNA. RefSeq lists it as uncharacterized. Lineage: Eukaryota; Metazoa; Chordata; Actinopteri; Toxotidae. The record is from RefSeq and is a predicted model, not a curated record. The transcript has 3 exons.